GUCUUUAUGGUGUUACAAGCACAUAGUCCUUUCAAGACUAAAGUAAACUAAGUUUUAAAGACG
RNAcentral lists this transfer RNA (63 nucleotides) under Eurythenes magellanicus. RNAcentral's name for it is "tRNA-Glu". Lineage: Eukaryota; Metazoa; Arthropoda; Malacostraca; Amphipoda; Lysianassidae. The record is from RNAcentral.